UACGGGGGGAGCAAGCGUUGUUCGGAUUUACUGGGCGUAAAGGGCGCGUAGGCGGUCGUGACAAGUCACUUGUGAAAUCUCCGGGCUUAACUCGGAACGGUCAAGUGAUACUGUCGGACUAGAGUACAGAAGGGGCAACUGGAAUUCUCGGUGUAGCGGUGAAAUGCGUAGAUAUCGAGAGGAACACCUGCGGCGAAGGCGGCAUCCUGGACCGACACUGACGCUGAGGCGCGAAAGCUAGGGUAGCAAACAGG
This 254-nucleotide ribosomal RNA is filed under the name uncultured bacterium. RNAcentral's name for it is "partial 16S ribosomal RNA". It matches the Rfam family "Bacterial small subunit ribosomal RNA", at positions 524 to 776 of the family's 1533-position model. The record is from RNAcentral.